RNAcentral lists this transfer RNA (56 nucleotides) under Ardeacarus ardeae. RNAcentral's name for it is "tRNA-Cys". Lineage: Eukaryota; Metazoa; Arthropoda; Arachnida; Sarcoptiformes; Pterolichidae. The record is from RNAcentral.
CCUAAAGUUUACACAACAUUGGAUUGCAAAUCUAAUUAUAAAAGGAAAGCUUUUAG